GGAUGCGACCAUUCUAGCACUACUGCACCAGAUCCCAUCAGAACUCUGUAGUUAAGUGUGCUUGGGCGAGGGUAGUACUGGGAUGGGUGACCACCUAGAAAGUUCUCGUGUUGCACCUU
This is a ribosomal RNA of Dendrobium catenatum, 119 nucleotides long. The record is from RefSeq and is a predicted model, not a curated record. NCBI's taxonomy places the organism in Eukaryota, Viridiplantae, Streptophyta, Magnoliopsida, Asparagales, Orchidaceae.